This is a long non-coding RNA of Dalotia coriaria, 263 nucleotides long. RefSeq lists it as uncharacterized. The record is from RefSeq and is a predicted model, not a curated record. The transcript has 3 exons. NCBI's taxonomy places the organism in Eukaryota, Metazoa, Arthropoda, Insecta, Coleoptera, Staphylinidae.
GUACCGUUUUAAUGCCGAUCAUUAAAGCAUGUGUUUUAACAUUCACGAGUAUAUUAGUCAUGUUAGUCAUUAGUAACGAAAGUGAAUUAGUAUUUCUAAAUAAACACGGAACAAAGUAAAAAAAUAAGGAAUCGAUGCAAUGUACCUAGUUUAAACUUGAAGAAUGACCAGCGCGACUACGAUGGCGCCGAGUGACCGAUUGCUUAGUAUGUCCGCUUGCGUUGAUCGACAGAUGCGAUCUUCAAGCAACCCGCGCGUUAAAG